GAGACAGCAGCCGCCACGGUAAUACGGAGGGUGCAAGCGUUAAUCGGAAUUACUGGGCGUAAAGCGCACGCAGGCGGUCUGACAAGUCAGAUGUGAAAUCCCCGGGCUUAACCUGGGAACUGCAUUUGAAACUGUCAGGCUGGAGUCUUGUAGAGGGGGGUAGAAUUCCAGGUGUAGCGGUGAAAUGCGUAGAGAUCUGGAGGAAUACCGGUGGCGAAGGCGGCCCCCUGGACAAAGACUGACGCUCAGGUGCGAAAGCGUGGGGAGCAAACAGGAUUAGAUACCCGUGUAGUCCCUGUCUCUUAUAC
RNAcentral lists this ribosomal RNA (308 nucleotides) under uncultured bacterium. Its description in RNAcentral is "partial 16S ribosomal RNA". It matches the Rfam family "Bacterial small subunit ribosomal RNA", at positions 505 to 807 of the family's 1533-position model. The record is from RNAcentral.